This 252-nucleotide ribosomal RNA is filed under the name uncultured bacterium. RNAcentral describes it as "partial 16S ribosomal RNA". It matches the Rfam family "Bacterial small subunit ribosomal RNA", at positions 796 to 1041 of the family's 1533-position model. The record is from RNAcentral.
CUGGCCCUAAACAAUGUCCACUAGAGUGUGGCUCCACUGACGGAGUCAUGCUCGAAACGAAAGCGUUAAGUGGACCGCCUGGGAAGUACGGUCGCAAGGCUAAAACUCAAAGGAAUUGACGGGGGCUCACACAAGCGGUGGAGCAUGUGGUUUAAUUCGAAGCAACGCGCAGAACCUUACCUGGGUUUGAAAUUCUAGGAUUAUCUUUGUGAAAGCAGAGUAGGCCCUUCGGGGUACAACUAGAACAGGUGC